Molecule: ribosomal RNA, 472 nt
Filed under: uncultured bacterium
Lineage: Bacteria
Description: bacterial SSU rRNA
Rfam family: Bacterial small subunit ribosomal RNA
Source: RNAcentral
AACGAACGUUAGCGGCGCGCUUAACACAUGCAAGUCGAGCGAGAAAGGGGCAACCCCGGUAAAGCGGCGCACGGGUGAGUAACACGUAGGUAAUCUACCCUCGGGUGGAGGAUAACUUUCCGAAAGGAAGGCUAAUACUGCAUGAGACCACGACCUCGAAAGGGGAUGGGGUCAAAGCCGGCCUCUGUACACAAGCUGGCGCCUGAGGAUGAGCCUGCGGCCCAUCAGCUAGUUGGUAGGGUAAUGGCCUACCAAGGCGAAGACGGGUAGCUGGUCUGAGAGGAUGAUCAGCCACACUGGAACUGAGACACGGUCCAGACUCCUACGGGAGGCAGCAGUGGGGAAUAUUGCGCAAUGGGCGAAAGCCUGACGCAGCCACGCCGCGUGAGCGAUGAAGGCCUCGGUCGUAAGACUCUGUGGGAGGAGAAGAAUAAAGACCUAGUGAGAGCAGGCCGUUGACGGUAUCUCCUUA